This 456-nucleotide ribosomal RNA is filed under the name uncultured bacterium. RNAcentral's name for it is "bacterial SSU rRNA". It matches the Rfam family "Bacterial small subunit ribosomal RNA", at positions 36 to 507 of the family's 1533-position model. The record is from RNAcentral.
CUGGCGGGCGCGCUUAAUACAUGCAAGUCGAACGAGAAGCCAGAGCUUGCUCUGGUGGAAAGUGGCGAACGGGUGAGUAACACGUGAGAAACCUGCCCCAAAGAUUGGGAUAAGCCUUGGAAACGAGGUCUAAUACCAAAUACCUUCUUUUUAACACAUGUUAAAAAGAAGAAAUGCUCCGGCGCUUUGGGAUGGUCUCGCGAUCUAUCAGCUUGUUGGUGAGGUAACGGCUCACCAAGGCAUCGACGGAUAGCUGGUCUGAGAGGAUGUCCAGCCACAUUGGAACUGAGACACGGUCCAAACUCCUACGGGAGGCAGCAGUAGGGAAUCUUGCACAAUGAGGGAAACCUUGAUGCAGCGACGCCGCGUGCGGGACGAAGGCCCUAGGGUUGUAAACCGCUUUCAGUAGGGACGAAAGUGACGGUACCUACAGAAGAAGCCCCGGCCAACUAUGUG